AACGAACGCUGGCGGCAUGCCUAACACAUGCAAGUCGAACGAGACCUUCGGGUCUAGUGGCGCACGGGUGCGUAACGCGUGGGAACCUGCCCUUAGGUUCGGAAUAACUCUCCGAAAGGGGUGCUAAUACCGGAUAAUGUCUUCGGACCAAAGAUUUAUCGCCUUUGGAUGGGCCCGCGUUGGAUUAGCUAGUUGGUAGGGUAAAAGCCUACCAAGGCGACGAUCCAUAGCUGGUCUGAGAGAAUGAUCAGCCACACUGGGACGGAGACACGGCCCAGACUCCUACGGGAGGCAGCAGUGCGUAAUAUUGGACAAUGGGCGAAAGGCUGAUCCAGCAAUGCCGCGUGAGUGAUGAAGGCCUUAGGGUUGUAAAGCUCUUUUACCCGUGAUGAUAAUGACAGUACCGGGAGAAUAAGCCCCGGCUAACUCCGUG
This 433-nucleotide ribosomal RNA is filed under the name uncultured bacterium. RNAcentral's name for it is "partial 16S ribosomal RNA". It matches the Rfam family "Bacterial small subunit ribosomal RNA", at positions 29 to 507 of the family's 1533-position model. The record is from RNAcentral.